Molecule: long non-coding RNA, 2865 nt
Filed under: Zea mays
Lineage: Eukaryota; Viridiplantae; Streptophyta; Magnoliopsida; Poales; Poaceae
Description: long non-coding RNA (ZMAY_LNC001881)
Source: RNAcentral
ACAGAUAUUACCUUUCAGCCCACUGACGCCUAGGGCAACUGCAUAAACACAAGUGUACAGCACAAUUUUUAUCACAAACUUGCGAAAACAUCCGGCUAGAUUUGACACCCAACCCGCCCUCUCUUUUUUGCAGAUGAAAUCAUGCAAGCCUGUACCAUUAAAAGGAGUUAGCUACUGAUUGAAAAUUUGACAUCUGCUAGGCAAUCACAUAAUUUUACAGCAUCACACUUUUUCUGCACAUCACACUAGGUAAGAGGAGCGUGAGACCCAGGCUCCACGAGGGUCACUGCAGGUUGGCACAUCCAAACAAACAUAAGCAGCAAGCACAGUGCUAGGAAAUAAACUUUGUGCGACAACGUAACGGGGCUUAAGUUCGGCAAGGAGCGGCACAGUUUCCGCAUCCUGUUAUUGAACUCCACUUCCUCGGCUAACCUUGCCAGCAGCCACCUUGACAAACCUCAGCUACACAACAAUAGUAUGCGGCACCGGCACCGCCCCGUUAGCAACAGAUGCACGCCCCGUUUCAUUUGUCGGUUGCACGCUCUGCCGAGUAAAGCAACAUCUGGCUGCUUGUACUUGCACCGGCACCACCAUUGUUUUCUUUUGCCAACAUCUGCAUUUCAUCAUAAUAGAGAACUUCAGACUAACAUGCGAGGAAUACAUAGCUGCAUUUACCAAUUUCGUAAAAAAUGAUUCAUAGUGAGCAAUAAUCUCUUUUUUUUUCUGAGAUGACUGACGAGUUCCAUUCUGAUGAACGGUGUUCCUUUCAAGCUUCAGGAUAUACAAACAGAACAUUUUGUGAGACAUGGUUCGUAUGCACGUUUACUGUGUCCAGCUUACAAAUGGUUGACUCUAGAAUAGUAAGGCAGCACGAUCCACUUGCCGUCGAAAUCAUACCAAAAAAGCUCAAUUAGAAUAUAACAAGAAUGACUUUUGGCGUUUGUUAUCUUGUCCUACUUAAGAGUAGAGCUACAUAACUGAGUUGAGCUCUGACAGGGCUUCCGGCCAUUGAUGUUAGAUUUUCACAUAAUAUUUUUUAGCUGUCCCUUAAUUAAGAAUGGAAUUGACACAGUUUUAAGUAAAAUCGGACCCAAAACCUACGCAAGGUGUACAAACUACCCAAGCAAUGGCAGCCUCACACAUAAAACUCAUCCAGAGUCAUCGUUGUCGAGCUCAACAUAAUGGACCAAAGAAAACUGGACGACGUCUAUAGCCAAACACUAACACAAAUGGAGGAAGACCGCGGAGCGUCGUCAUUGUCAAGCCUCGAGACACCACACGUGAGGCAGCUCCGAUUCUUCACGAACGGGACUUUCAAUCUUGAUCUUCCGCCUCGUUCCCAACAUAUGCCUAACCUCAGAAGCAAUCCUUCCACGAAGAAGGGGGCGUCUCACGUCAUCAUUGACGAGCCACAUCCCCUGACGUAGCAGCUUCGACUUUACGCUCCAACACCGUACCUCCACCCGCAUACCAAACGCUAAGAAGCGAAAGCAUCUACAGAAAAGCGAUGUCGUGGUCGGGACAAAACUUCAAUAGCGACCUCUUCAGGAAGGGAGUGACGUUGCAGACGUCAUCGUCGCAUGUCCAAGAUGACAGGCUUUCACCCAUAGAAGACAGUGCUGAGGAAUGCGACGCUCUCAAGUGGGUAAGCGACGCUCACGAGCGUCAUCGGCGUCGAAAGCCUUGACGAAGUCCCCCAACACAACGUCAAGUCAAGGUCAAAGCAAGCUACCUCCGUCGUCGUCGUUGCCCCGACACCCGCACAAACCUUCCAGAUGGGCAUCGACGCACCGAUUGCCGCGGCAGCUGCCACCCCUCGAGUUGGGCAGAUGGAACCGGGCACCACCAUGCCACGUGCGACACUACCACGCGCCGGAGUCGUUGCUAGCAGUUGUCGUCGACCCUGGAAAAUGCGGCCACCUAAGCCAGCAGUCGUCGGGCGUGUCUCGCAACUCGUUGCCAGCAGUCGCCUGGUGCAGCACCCCUCGGCUAGCCAAACCUUAUAGCAACAGCCGUGACGUGGCGGGUCUGAGGUGCUGGCGCGCGCACCACAGCCGGCGCCGCUGGGGCCACUUUGCUAGCCCACCGUCGCCCCGAGCUGACACGUUCUCGGCUGCCGUCGAGCCACCCAACCUCGGAGCACCGCCGUAGGACCAGACCGCAGCCACCGCCGCCCUAACCCCUCUCGGCCUCCAAGCUUCGCACGUCAUUGGUCGACAGCAUCUUCCCUGUUUUGGCAAUGCGAGGAGACGAGCUCGCCCACGGCGACGUGGAGCAGGAAGCCAACGCUGAAGCCGUCCUGGAGGCCGUGGCUGAGCUUGCGGAGCGCCAAGACGUGGCCGAGCCACGCUUCCCGCACACACAACGCCACGCCCGCGUGUGGGACCUUGUCCACCUAGACGCCACCACGGCACACGCCCGCCUACCUGCCGCCGCGUCGCGACUAAGCUGCACAGCAAACCCUUUCAAAUCUAAAGCAUAGGGAGACCAAUCGAAAGAAGAACUUUUCGUGCCGCCAUCCUUGGGGCCCGUGCUGGCCUACGGCGGACUCCUCCAGCGACUGCGAGGGGGUGGAGGGAGGCGGAGGGGGUGGCAGCGCUAGGGUUUAGAGUUUAGGGGCAACCUGUGUCGCUCGAGCGGAGGACGAUGCGGGGGCUGGGGUCGGGACGUUGCUCACCUCACUGGAUAUCCUUCUUUCACAUAAUACUAGAGCAGUACUAGGACGAUGCCACUUCUGUUGUCUCAUAUUAUUAACGACGUCUUUGAAAAUAUGACACCAUAUACUCUCUGGUUGACUGGUUGACACCUAGCAGCUAAUAUCAUUGUUCAAUGCUGACCAACACGCAAUGUUUUGAAUAUUUUUAC